RNAcentral lists this ribosomal RNA (263 nucleotides) under uncultured bacterium. RNAcentral's name for it is "partial 16S ribosomal RNA". It matches the Rfam family "Bacterial small subunit ribosomal RNA", at positions 29 to 289 of the family's 1533-position model. The record is from RNAcentral.
AUUAACGCUAGCGGCAGGCAUAAUACAUGCAAGUUGAACGGCAGCACAGGUAGCAAUACUGGGUGGCGAGUGGCGCACGGGUGCGUAACACGUAUGCAACCUACCCUAUACAGGCGAAUAACCUUUAGAAAUGAGGGCUAAUACGCCGUAGUAUUACGGAUGGGCAUCUAUUUGUAAUUAAAGAUUUAUCGGUAUAGGAUGGGCAUGCGUCCCAUUAGUUAGUUGGUAAGGUAACGGCUUACCAAGACGAUGAUGGGUAGGGG